Long non-coding RNA from Brachypodium distachyon (stiff brome), 1827 nucleotides. RefSeq lists it as uncharacterized. Lineage: Eukaryota; Viridiplantae; Streptophyta; Magnoliopsida; Poales; Poaceae. The transcript has 2 exons. The record is from RefSeq and is a predicted model, not a curated record.
ACAAGGAUAUAACGCAUUUUCAGUCGAUGAAUUUAACUUGGCUCCUCAACUAUCUAGAUACCGGUUACAAAGAAUCUCGAAAAGAGUCCUUGACUAGAUAUUACCAUGCGUGGAAGCAUGACAGUAAUACAAGGCAUUUUCAGUCGAUCCAUCAAUUGGCUCCUCGACUAGAUAUGGGUUACAAAGAAUUCUCGAAAGCUCUCUCGAUCACUCUAAUAAUGAUAGAAGGGGGCACAUAGCUGAUAGCUGGGCCCCUGUUCAUGCCCUCGCCCAAGUUUGCAGCCAACCACCCAUCCCAACGUGCCAUCAUGGACAAGGACAGGAGGGAGAGAGAGAUGGGUGAACGCAACAAGCCAACAUGGCAGGCAAAUUGUCCGCAGACGCCGCCAGAAAAUUUGAGAAAAUUUCAACAUGUGGUGUGCAGCUGUGCAGGAGCCGCGGCGGCGUCGAGGAUAAGGAGAGGGCAACGCAUCGGAUGGAUCAUCAUGGCUGGACCUGUGUGGCUGUACGUAUCUGUCCAUGCUAUACUCCUCUCCUGUGAGCAGUGAGCUAGUGCCCUUUUCCUGUGGAUGAAGAUCAACUGAACCUACAUCAGCUAGCUGUCUUCGCAGACAUAUCAACCUUCCAUGAAUUAUUUCCUUUUGCAGCUCUCCUGUAGCAGCACGGAUGGGGGUUUAAUUGGAGCUGUUUGUUUUCUGCGUUUCGGCCAGGAUGGUAAUAGCGACGUGCGUGGUCUUGGAUGCAAAUAUUUGCAGCUUGGAACUUUCUUUCUGGAUGUUGCUAUCGCGUGCUUGGUCCAAAGCUAGCAUUCGCCGUCAGGAUGAGCGAGCGGUGCAUGUUUUUUUUUAAAUACAUGCCAAGCAGGUGUAUCGUAUGUUGAAGAAAAAUGCCACGAUACAGUUAAAUGCCCGUAGCCGAAAAUAAAGCGACUAAUCUAUUACACUCCACACAGGAUCCACUAGACUAGUAAGAGAAAAAAAAAUCUACGAUAUGAAAUAGACCUGCGCUUGACCACGCCAUGCCUUCCCGAGUGAUCAUCUGUUGAAUGUUUAGCACGUUCGGCGUCGCCGCACCAAAAACCACCGAGUUCCUGUGUUUCAGUCACCAACAAAUGAGAGUGAUGCUAGUGUUAAGAUUCCUCCUCUCUUUUUUUCCUUGCACCCAGAAGUUCGAACACCAGCCGGUGAGAGAGUCAUGCAGGGAUGGUAGCCAGCAAAAUUAGUUCCAGCUCCUCAGCAAGAACGACCACACCUCCCUGGCCACGACGCAACCAAGCAAAAGAUGGUCGAUGGUCUCUUGCUCCGGUCGCACAAAGGCCAUCGAUUUGCUAGGAACGAAAGAUUUCAUGGUUUUUCUUUUUCUUUAGGGGUGACGUACCAGAACUAGCUAGAACUAGAAGAUGGAGGUCGGCUUGCACUCACGCCACAUGAUUACUUCUUCAGCUGAAGAAACAAAAGAUACAAAAACCAAAGCCCAUCGAACGAGCUGCUGAAUAAAAGAUUUGACAAGAUGAAAGAUCGAUGGGAGAAAGCUCGCAAUUCAAUCAUUACCGGAUGUCUAAACCUAAACCAGGAACUUUGAAUCACCAGAUAGCAAUUCAAAGGUUCGACAAUGGCGACUGCACCUUUGGGACACUGGUCUUUAUGGACACGUGCACGAGGAGUUUCCAGCUGUCAUCGACAAGAUCAGACCGACUCUGGUACAGGAGCGGCAACAACGGCACGUCAUCGGCUCAUUCUGACAACGGUGGUGGUUGUUCAAUAAUUCAAGAUCUUGAUGUAAAUUUUAUUAUGUACUAUAUACUCCCUCCGUCCGCAAAUAAGUGUA